AGAGUUUGAUCCUGGCUCAGGAUGAACGCUGGCGGCGUGCUUAACACAUGCAAGUCGAACGAACCUUCGGGUUAGUGGCGGACGGGUGAGUAACGCGUGAGAAUCUGCCCUCAGGAGGGGGAUAACGGUUGGAAACGACCGCUAAUACCCCAUAUGCCGCGAGGUGAAAUGAAUUUCGCCUGAGGAUGAGCUCGCGUCUGAUUAGCUAGUUGGUGGGGUAAAGGCCUACCAAGGCAUCGAUCAGUAGCUGGUCUGAGAGGAUGAUCAGCCACACUGGGACUGAGACACGGCCCAGACUCCUACGGGAGGCAGCAGUGGGGAAUUUUCCGCAAUGGGCGAAAGCCUGACGGAGCAACGCCGCGUGAGGGAUGAAGGCCUCUGGGCUGUAAACCUCUUUUAUCAAGGAAGAAGAUCUGACGGUACUUGAUGAAUAAGCCACGGCUAAUUCCGUGCCAGCAGCCGCGGUAAUACGGGAGUGGCAAGCGUUAUCCGGAAUUAUUGGGCGUAAAGCGUCCGCAGGCGGCCCUUCAAGUCUGCUGUUAAAAAGUGGAGCUUAACUCCAUCAUGGCAGUGGAAACUGUUGGGCUUGAGUGUGGUAGGGGCAGAGGGAAUUCCCGGUGUAGCGGUGAAAUGCGUAGAUAUCGGGAAGAACACCAGUGGCGAAGGCGCUCUGCUGGGCCAUCACUGACGCUCAUGGACGAAAGCCAGGGGAGCGAAAGGGAUUAGAUACCCCUGUAGUCCUGGCCGUAAACGAUGAACACUAGGUGUCGGGGGAAUCGACCCCCUCGGUGUCGUAGCCAACGCGUUAAGUGUUCCGCCUGGGGAGUACGCACGCAAGUGUGAAACUCAAAGGAAUUGACGGGGGCCCGCACAAGCGGUGGAGUAUGUGGUUUAAUUCGAUGCAACGCGAAGAACCUUACCAGGGUUUGACAUCCUGCGAAUCUCUUGGAAACGAGAGAGUGCCUUCGGGAACGCAGUGACAGGUGGUGCAUGGCUGUCGUCAGCUCGUGUCGUGAGAUGUUGGGUUAAGUCCCGCAACGAGCGCAACCCACGUCUUUAGUUGCCAGCAUUUAGUUGGGCACUCUAGAGAGACCGCCGGUGAUAAACCGGAGGAAGGUGUGGAUGACGUCAAGUCAUCAUGCCCCUUACAUCCUGGGCUACACACGUACUACAAUGCUACGGACAAAGGGCAGCAAGUUCGCGAGGACAAGCAAAUCCCAUAAACCGUGGCUCAGUUCAGAUCGUAGGCUGCAACUCGCCUACGUGAAGGAGGAAUCGCUAGUAAUCGCAGGUCAGCAUACUGCGGUGAAUACGUUCCCGGGCCUUGUACACACCGCCCGUCACACCAUGGAAGUUGGCCACGCCCGAAGCCGUUACUCCAACCCUCGGGAGGAGGACGUCGAAGGUGGGGCUGAUGACUGGGGUGAAGUCGUAACAAGGUAACC
RNAcentral lists this ribosomal RNA (1445 nucleotides) under uncultured bacterium. RNAcentral's name for it is "bacterial SSU rRNA". It matches the Rfam family "Bacterial small subunit ribosomal RNA". The record is from RNAcentral.